Molecule: long non-coding RNA, 4190 nt
Organism: Tachysurus fulvidraco (yellow catfish)
Lineage: Eukaryota; Metazoa; Chordata; Actinopteri; Siluriformes; Bagridae
Exons: 2
Source: RefSeq, a predicted model, not a curated record
AUUUAGAAGUGAUUGUGUAAACAAGUCAGAAACAUAUUUAGCUCAAAUCUAUAAGAAUAGAUUAGUUUUAUCUCCUUUAAAAAGCAGAUAUAUGUUUACUUUCAGUCCAGUAAAAUGUAAAUGAAUGUGUACAGAACAGCAGCUGGUUUAGAUAGGAGUUUGAACCAAAAAACAAUGUAAUGUGUUAAUGUGUGGAUAUUAAUAAACUUAUAGUCUUUUUGCACAGAUUGACACCGCAAUAGAUAAUAAAUAAUAAACAAAAAUGAAUAAAUACCACGCUCGGCUCUUACCACUUCCGGGGGCGGGGCUUUCACAUGAGCAAAUCCACUGACAACGUUUUAGAAAGUGCUAAUAAAGUAAAAUAAGAAAGCUGUUUUAUGAACUUCUGUUUAAAAACUGUUUAAAGAAUAAAGCAACACAAGCAAGAAAAAUAAAUUAUAAUAAACGCACAUUUACUAUGACCUGAACUCUGUAUCUUGUGCACAAUUCAACAGUAUAUAUAACUAUAUAACAUAGUAGACAAAAUUCAUCUUUUUCUGUAAUCCCUGAAAUUAUAGCUUACAUCCCCAAGUCUGACCUUCAGGGCCACUUUUGACAGCUUUAUUUCCAUGUGCCUCAACUGACUGAAUAAUAAUAAUCUGUGAAACUGUAGCAGGUCUGUAGAGUCUCUGUAGGUUUGCUUGUAUUGUGACCCUAAAGUGAAUAUAGGGUGACUGAAUGGAGACUGAAGGUGACUGUAGAGUGACUGUAGAGUGACUGUAGGGUGACUGUAAGGUAGAGUGACUGUAGAGUGACCGUAGGUUGAUUGUAGAGUGACUGUAAGGUAGAAAGACUGUAGAGUGACUGGGUGAAUGUAGAGUGACUGUAGGGUGAUUGUAGAGUGAUUGUAGGGUGACUGUAAGGUAGAGUGACUGUAGAGUGACCGUAGGUUGAUUGUAGAGUGACUGUAAGGUAGAAAGACUGUAGAGUGACUGGGUGACUGUAGAGUGACUGUAGGGUGAUUGUAGAGUGAUUGUAGGGUGACUGUAAGGUAUAGUGACUGUAGAGUGACUGUAAGGUAGAAUGACUGUAAGUGACUGUUGAGUGACAACAGGGGGACUGUAGAUUGACUGUAGAGUGACUGUAGAAUGAUUGUAGAGUGUCAACAGGGUGACUGUAGAGUGAUUGUAGAGUGACUGUGAGGUAGAGUGACUGUAGAGUGUGUUGUGUACUUGGAGACUCUAUGACGCAUUUAGUAAAGGAUGACACACACACACACACGGACUAAACGAGACUGUUCUUUACUCACAUGUGCAGAGAGAGAAAAACCAGAACAUGAACAACCGGAAACACACGCAAAAGUGCAUUCUGGGAAAUGUAGUUAAUUAACAGCAUUAACAACAAACACAACAGAGUGACUGUAAGUCGACUGUAGGGUGACUGUACAGUGAUUGUACAGUGACUGUAGAGUGACUAUAGGGUGACUGUAGAGUGACUGUAAGGUAGAGAGACUGUAGAGUGACAACAGGGUGACUGUAAAGUGACAACAGGGUGACUGUAGAGUGACUGUAAGGUAGAGUGACAACAGGGUGACUGUAGAGUGACUGUAAGGUAGAGUGACUGUAGGGUGACUGUAAGGUAGAUUGACUGUAGCAUGACUGUAGGGUGAUUAUAAGGUACAGUGUCUGUAGAGUGACUCUAGGGUGACUGUAGAGUGACUGUAAGGUAGAGUGACUGGUAGGGUGACUGUAGAGUGACUGUAGAGUGACAUUAGGGUGACUGUAGAGUGACUGUAGGGUGACAACAGGGUGACUGUAGGGUGACUGUAGAGUGACUGUAGGAUGACUGUAGAGUGACCGUAGUGUGAUUAUAGAGUGACUGUAGGGUGAUUGUAGAGUGACUGUAGGAUGACUGUAAGGCAGAGUGACUGUACAGUGACUGUAGGGUGACUGUAAGCAGAGCAACUCCUGUAGAGUGCAUGCGGAAAUGAACGCAUGUUCACACGCGGCACGGUUAUCGAGCUGCCAUUUAUAAACACCGUUGCCCUUGGGCGUUUAUUCAUGCGAAUGUUCACUUUACAGCGAGGCAGGGGGAGGCGGGCGUAAUGUGUGGGGCCGUACGCAACUUGCGUAGUGAGCGUAUAGGGCCGAUCGGCUAGGAAUGUAAGGUAGAGUGACUGUGACCGAAAACUCAACCCUGGGGAAGCCAAUUACGAUGUUAGAAACUGGGAACUACUAUCUAUUAAGGAAAUCCUGAGCAUAGAAGGAAUUAGUUACCUGUAGGCCUCCUGGAACCACUGGCAAUAACACAACACCCUUGGACCCACAUCUUAGUGGAUUUCAACACUGACCUCACCUGUUCCCAUGGCUGUGGAUCGAUUCUCUAAAGCCUGCAAACUUAUUCCCCACUGCCAUGGAGAGGGCCGCAGCCUUAUUCAACCACAGAUUCCAUUCUUAUGGCAUCCGUAUUAACAUUGCCUCAGACAGGGGAGCCCAGUUCACAUAAACCAAGCAUUGCGUUAGUUCUGGCAGGCCACGUUGUCAAGCGUGCAUCAGCUGUUAAUCAGCUGUCCACGACGCGCGCCAAUCCGGUUACGACAUCCAUAUUACCCGACCAUUUAAAUUCCCAUUCAUAGAGCCGUCCUAGUGCUUCGCUGCUACCGCAAUCUAAACUCCCUCCUCCAACCCCAACUCCACUAUGCCUCAACCCGUGUUCGCUGUACCAGUUUAUGUCUUAAAUCUCCACAUAUUUCUCUCUCUCUCUCCCUCUCUCUCUAAUUAUUCAAUUAUCUAUCUAUCCAUUCAUUUAUUAGUUUCCAAAAACAUAUAAGCGAGCAUAUCAAUACUAUGCAUGCUAGUGGUUCUGUUAUACGGGGGGUCUAUUCUAUUUUCUAGUCGUUGCUCUCCGCGCUUUGGCUAUCCACACAACACCUGAAAACUGCUUUGCUGCAAACUCAACCCUAGAUACAUCAGACCUGAACUGUACUAAGCACAGUACACACACAUGCACACAUGCACAAUGAACUUAAUGGACUGCAAUGACUUCCAAUAUACAUCAAUGUCUACAGCACCACCAUAUCAAACUGUUUACAUGCUGUUUUUACACACUGUUUUUGGUCUUUGCACAUGCUGUCUUUCACAUUUCAGUUGAUUGAUGUUUUGCACAAUACAUAUAAUAUCUCAUGUAACUGCUGCUGUAAUACUAUUGUUCUGUUAUAAAAGCCCAAACUCCUGACCACCAGAGGGAACCCUCACUGGAGAUCUGAACCCUCCGGUCCACAAAGAUUCACUUAUGGUUUCUACUACUGGUUUUAAGGACAUUUAAACCAUGUUCUUGCCACAACACAACGCAAAGUAUUAUCAGUUUAUCUGUGUGCCGAGCCUUUGUUAUUUCUUUGACCUUAGUUUUGACCUUAGCAUCUGUACUUUAGAUUAUGUACUGUCUUUGCCCCUUUUAGAUUUGUUUCCACAAACAUAGUCCACAAAGGACUUUACAAAGCAUCUAUGGAAGAGUUACAAUUUCUAAUAGUUUAGCAAUUGUAACUCUUCCAUAGAUGUUGCUUUGUUAUAAUUGCAGACACUAAUGCAAAAAAAUGUGAAAAGGGUGAUAUGGUCUGAUGAAUCAUCAUUUACAUUAUUCCCAACAAUUGUGUUACUACCAGUAAGUAAUUGUAGUAAAAUGUUGUUUCCAAACAAUGCCAUUUUUAAGACGAUGAUUUUCACAUACACACAGCCAAAACAGUCCAGUCCUGGUGUGAUCUUGGCAUGAUCUUCAAUAUUUGCCAUGUCAGCUCACUCACCUAACUUGAAUAACCAAUAUGGGGAAUUUUGGGGGGAAGAGUUACAGAUUUAUCUGUACAUACAGAACAGGUUUCCUGCUCCAACCACUCUGAAGCAAUUUGAAGAUAUUCAGCUAGAUGAACGGUACAAAUGUCCACUAAGGCUCUUUUCCAAGAAGAUUAAGGAAAGGAAUUCCAGAAAGGAAACUAUUUAUAUUCACACUCUCUGCUGUCACCCAGAUUAGGAUGGGUUCCUUUUUGAGUAGGGUACCCCUUAAGGUUUCUUUCUUAUGUCAUCUCUGGGAGUUUAUCCUUGCUACUGUUGCCUCUACAUCUGGCUCAUUAAGGGAUAAAAACAUUAAGAUUAAAUUUAAUUAUUGUUUUGAAUUUACAUUGUUAAAACACUAUACCAUUAAACCAAAAUUGAAUUGAA